Long non-coding RNA from Cyprinus carpio (common carp), 1370 nucleotides. Lineage: Eukaryota; Metazoa; Chordata; Actinopteri; Cypriniformes; Cyprinidae. The record is from Ensembl.
CUCCCUUCACUUCAGACCUGAAAACACUAAGAAAGGACGGUGUUACCCCGCCUGAUGUGGACUCUACGAGACCCUUAGAGCUUCUUCUUUACCUUAGACGCGGUCCUGUCCUGAUCUGGGGUGGUUAGGAGUGUUAAAAAUCCAGUUGAAAUGGAGCCGGGAAGACGACGGGCUCCGGCCGAGCUGUGAACAUUGGAGAGUAGGAAGGAGAGGAGGCGCUGCAGUUUUACUCGGGGCCGACGGGCGGCGCUAUACAGCGCGUGGACAUAAGCGUCUACCGCCUUGGAUGGUCCCACAUAACCUUUAAACCAACGUGGAAUUGUAUCACCUCACGAUAUGCUCCACCUGAGUUGGAUUUAAAAACCUACCACCGUGUCUGUGAAGAAGACAUCAGCGGCGUGUCGAGAACGAGGGGAUGUUGUGGCGUCGCGAGGAAAUUUUGACAUGUUGUUGUUGUGAGGGCUCCAUGGUGAGAGCAAUCAGCUCACGGAAACUUUUGAGCGUGGGUGAGAAGUUUGGCUGGAAUUCCACUGCAGGUUCAGCCGCUUUCUGUACAUACGAGACUGUUGAUGUCCUGAAGUGCGACACUGAGGACUUGCUCAAGUGUAAGAGAUCCGUCACUGAGGCUUUUUAUGGAGACCCUGUUUGAAUAGGAGCUUGUGUGAACUUACGAAUGCAUGCCUGAUGUCAGAGGGAGGAACAGCACACCAGGAUCUACAUUUAUGACACAAUACUGAGCUUAUUGACACUGGCCAGGAGCCUCAGAAUGGUUGAAAUGAAAUACUAGCUUACUAGUACUAGGAAAACUGGAAAGUAUAUGCAGUAUACCAAUGUUUCCAAGCCAUCUUUGUCUUAUGUACUCCCAUAGCCCCAUCAGCAGGGCUUCAAAAAUGCAUUCUUUUUAACUUAUGUUUUGCUGUAUAUCAUUUAGGAUUUUCACGAAUAUUAUUAAAACGGCAACUAUUACAACAAUAGUUGUUUAAAUUGUUUUUGUUGAAAUAUAGUUUUAAACCACAACAAAUUAAAUGUGAAAAUUAUAUGGGUCUAAGAUGAAAAGUUGUUGUUUUUUUUUGUUUUGUUUUUUUUGAGCAAAAAAAAACAAACAACUCAUACCCCCCCCACCCCCUUGAUUUACAGAAGACACCCACUAAGAAUCAGUUUUUAAUCUUUUAAAAUAUAAUCAAAUUUAGUAUGAUCCCUUUUUCUUUUAAAUAAGAUUAUAUUAUAUUAUAUUAUAUUAUAUUAUAUUAUAUUAUAUUAUAUUAUAUUAUAUUAUAUUAUAUUAUAUUAUAUUAUAUUAUAUUAUAUUAUAUUAUAUUAUAUUAUAAAUAUAAGUCCAGCUCAGAAUAAAAUGUUGUUUCAUUUUUACA